UACGUAGGGACCAAGCGUUGUUCGGAUUUACUGGGCGUAAAGGGCGCGUAGGCGGCAAUUCAAGUCAGCUGUGAAAUCUCCGGGCUUAACUCGGAACGGUCAGCUGAUACUGUUUUGCUAGAGUGCAGAAGGGGCAAUCGGAAUUCUUGGUGUAGCGGUGAAAUGCGUAGAUAUCAAGAGGAACACCUGAGGUGAAGACGGGUUGCUGGGCUGACACUGACGCUGAGGCACGAAAGCGUGGGGAGCAAACAGG
RNAcentral lists this ribosomal RNA (253 nucleotides) under uncultured bacterium. Its description in RNAcentral is "partial 16S ribosomal RNA". It matches the Rfam family "Bacterial small subunit ribosomal RNA", at positions 524 to 776 of the family's 1533-position model. The record is from RNAcentral.